Molecule: ribosomal RNA, 700 nt
Filed under: Actinomycetes bacterium
Lineage: Bacteria; Bacillati; Actinomycetota; Actinomycetes
Description: bacterial SSU rRNA
Rfam family: Bacterial small subunit ribosomal RNA
Source: RNAcentral
UGCACCGGGUGGAUGAGUGGCGAACGGGUGAGUAACACGUGAGUAACCUGCCCCUGACUUCGGGAUAAGCCCGGGAAACUGGGUCUAAUACCGGAUACGACUGCCGGACGCAUGUCUGGUGGUGGAAAGUUUUUUCGGUUGGGGAUGGGCUCGCGGCCUAUCAGUUUGUUGGUGAGGUAAUGGCUCACCAAGACGACGACGGGUAGCCGGCCUGAGAGGGCGACCGGCCACACUGGGACUGAGACACGGCCCAGACUCCUACGGGAGGCAGCAGUGGGGAAUAUUGCACAAUGGGGGAAACCCUGAUGCAGCGACGCAGCGUGCGGGAUGACGGCCUUCGGGUUGUAAACCGCUUUCAGCAGGGAAGAAGCGCAAGUGACGGUACCUGCAGAAGAAGUACCGGCUAACUACGUGCCAGCAGCCGCGGUAAUACGUAGGGUACGAGCGUUGUCCGGAAUUAUUGGGCGUAAAGAGCUCGUAGGUGGUUGGUCACGUCUGCUGUGGAAACGCAACGCUUAACGUUGCGCGUGCAGUGGGUACGGGCUGACUAGAGUGCAGUAGGGGAGUCUGGAAUUCCUGGUGUAGCGGUGAAAUGCGCAGAUAUCAGGAGGAACACCGGUGGCGAAGGCGGGACUCUGGGCUGUAACUGACACUGAGGAGCGAAAGCAUGGGGAGCGAACAGGAUUAGAUACCCUGGUAG